RNAcentral lists this ribosomal RNA (446 nucleotides) under uncultured bacterium. Its description in RNAcentral is "partial 16S ribosomal RNA". It matches the Rfam family "Bacterial small subunit ribosomal RNA", at positions 338 to 795 of the family's 1533-position model. The record is from RNAcentral.
CCUACGGGUGACAGCAGUCGAGAAUCAUUCACAAUGGGGGGAACCCUGAUGGUGCGACGCCGCGUGGGGGAAUGAAGGUCUUCGGAUUGUAAACCCCUGUCAUGUGGGAGCAAAUUAAAAAGAUAGUACCACAAGAGGAAGAGACGGCUAACUCUGUGCCAGCAGCCGCGGUAAUACAGAGGUCUCAAGCGUUGUUCGGAAUCACUGGGCGUAAAGCGUGCGUAGGCUGUUUCGUAAGUCGUGUGUGAAAGGCGCGGGCUCAACCCGCGGACGGCACAUGAUACUGGGAGACUAGAGUAAGGGAGGGGGAACCGGAAUUCGCGGUGUAGCAGUGAAAUGCGUAGAUAUCGAGAGGAACACUCGUGGCGAAGGCGGGUUCCUGGACACUAACUGACGCUGAGGCACGAAGGCCAGGGGAGCGAAAGGGAUUAGAUACCCCAGUAGUC